AUGCUUCAGCAGCACAUAUACCCAAAUUACAAUACAGAGAUUAACAUGGCAAUUGCACAGGAUGAUAAGAAAAUCUGUGAAUUAUUCCAUAUUUUU
Dipodomys ordii (Ord's kangaroo rat) is the source of this 96-nucleotide small nuclear RNA. The record is from Ensembl. NCBI's taxonomy places the organism in Eukaryota, Metazoa, Chordata, Mammalia, Rodentia, Heteromyidae.